CACAAGCGGUGGAUGAUGUGGAUUAAUUCGAUGCAACGCGAAAACCUUACCUACCUUGACAUGUCCGGAAUCCCGAAGAGAUUUGGGAGUGCUCGCAAGAGAGCCGGAACACAGGUGCUGCAUGGCUGUCGUCAGCUCGUGUCGUGAGAUGUUGGGUUAAGUCCCGCAACGAGCGCAACCCUUGUCAUUAGUUGCCAUCAUUUGGUUGGGCACUCUAAUGAGACUGCCGGUGACAAACCGGAGGAAGGUGGGGAUGACGUCAAGUCCUCAUGGCCCUUAUGGGUAGGGCUUCACACGUCAUACAAUGGUCGGUACAGAGGGUUGCCAACCCGCGAGGGGGAGCUAAUCCCACAAAGCCGAUCGUAGUCCGGAUCGCAGUCUGCAACUCGACUGCGUGAAGUCGGAAUCGCUAGUAAUCGUGGAUCAGCAUGUCACGGUGAAUACGUUCCCGGGUCUU
RNAcentral lists this ribosomal RNA (457 nucleotides) under uncultured Rhodocyclaceae bacterium. RNAcentral's name for it is "bacterial SSU rRNA". It matches the Rfam family "Bacterial small subunit ribosomal RNA", at positions 924 to 1382 of the family's 1533-position model. Lineage: Bacteria; Pseudomonadati; Pseudomonadota; Betaproteobacteria; Rhodocyclales; Rhodocyclaceae. The record is from RNAcentral.